RNAcentral lists this unclassified non-coding RNA (305 nucleotides) under plant metagenome. RNAcentral describes it as "partial contains 5.8S ribosomal RNA, internal transcribed spacer 2, and large subunit ribosomal RNA". The stretch from base 1 to 105 matches the Rfam family "5.8S ribosomal RNA", at positions 50 to 154 of the family's 154-position model. The record is from RNAcentral.
GAAAUGCUAUAAGUAGUGUGAAUUGCAGAAUUCAGUGAAUCAUCGAAUCUUUGAACGCACAUUGCGCCCUUUGGUAUUCCUUAGGGCAUGCCUGUUCGAGCGUCAUCUAAACCUUCAAGCCCUGCUUGGUGUUGGGUGCCUGUCCCGCCUCCGCGCGCGGACUCACCUCAAAUCCAUUGGCGGCCCCCGCGUCGGCCACGAGCGCAGCAGAAACGCGAACUCGUGAGCCCGUCCGGGCGGCUCCCAGAAGCUACACCCACCCAGUUUGACCUCGGAUCAGGUAGGGAUACCCGCUGAACUUAAGC